GACGAACGCUGGCGGCGUGCUUAACACAUGCAAGUCGAACGGAAAGGCCCUGCUUUUGUGGGGUGCUCGAGUGGCGAACGGGUGAGUAACACGUGAGUAACCUGCCCUUGACUUUGGGAUAACUUCAGGAAACUGGGGCUAAUACCGGAUAGGAGCUCCUGCUGCAUGGUGGGGGUUGGAAAGUUUCGGCGGUUUGGGAUGGACUCGCGGCUUAUCAGCUUGUUGGUGGGGUAGUGGCUUACCAAGGCUUUGACGGGUAGCCGGCCUGAGAGGGUGACCGGCCACAUUGGGACUGAGAGACGGCCCAGACUGCUACGGGGGACAGCGGUGGGGAACAUUGCACAGUGGGCGCGAGCCUGAUGAGGCGGCGCCGCGUUCGGAAUGACGUCCUUCGGGGUGAAAAACGCUUUCGCCUAUGACGAAGCGUGAGUGACGGUAAUGGGUGAAUAAGCACCGGCUAACUACGUG
Molecule: ribosomal RNA, 468 nt
Filed under: uncultured bacterium
Lineage: Bacteria
Description: partial 16S ribosomal RNA
Rfam family: Bacterial small subunit ribosomal RNA
Source: RNAcentral